This 728-nucleotide long non-coding RNA is filed under the name Ananas comosus (pineapple). RNAcentral's name for it is "long non-coding RNA (ACOM_LNC020279)". Lineage: Eukaryota; Viridiplantae; Streptophyta; Magnoliopsida; Poales; Bromeliaceae. The record is from RNAcentral.
UUUUCGCAAUUAGCCUCCUGAAAAAAAUUUAUUUUAAAAAUAGUCCUAACAAAUUUAAAUUUGCAAAAAUAGCUCUGGUCCUGCCACGCAAGCGCCACGUCAGCGCCAUGCGGGCCGGGCUGGACCAGAUAGUUAAGUUAAACAUGGUGAAUGGUUCACCAUGUUUGGGGCAAGGGAAGGGAAAGAAAAAAUAUACGUAUUAUGAAAAAAAUAAAUAUGAAACACGGUGAAAAAAUAUACGUAUUAUGAAAAAGAUAAGUAUGAAACACGGUGAAUGGUUUACCGCGUUCAACUUAACGCCCCAAUCCGUCCAUGUGGCACUGAUGUGACGCCUGCGUGGCAAGGUCAGGGCCAUUUUUUAAAAUUUAAAUUUGCUGAAGUUAUUUUUAAAAUAAAUUUUUUCGGGGGGCUAAUUGCAAAAAAAGCCUAUUUUCUUAUCAUCCAUUCAAUUAUUGAUAACUCACAUUUGUAAGGCAAGUUUGUAACAUUAUUGGAACUGGGCCCCUGGAUUCAAUCAUUUGUCAAGGUCAUUUACAUGUCCUUUGUCCUUUUCUAGGGAAAUAAAUUUUUCUUUUUUUUUUCUGUAUAGUAGUUAUAUUAUAUAAAACAUAAUCAAGAGGAGUAAAGUACUUUUUUAUUAAAACAAUGUUAAGGAAAAAUUGUUCAUGUACUUUUGAACAACAUAAAGAUCUUUAAUUGAUUGUUUUUAGGAUAAACUUCAAAUUGCC